Molecule: ribosomal RNA, 401 nt
Filed under: uncultured bacterium
Lineage: Bacteria
Description: bacterial SSU rRNA
Rfam family: Bacterial small subunit ribosomal RNA
Source: RNAcentral
AUUGAACGCUGGCGGCAUGCUUUACACAUGCAAGUCGAACGGCAGCGGGGGCUUCGGCCUGCCGGCGAGUGGCGAACGGGUGAGUAAUGCAUCGGAACGUGCCCAUGUCGUGGGGGAUAACGUAGCGAAAGCUACGCUAAUACCGCAUACGUCCUGAGGGAGAAAGCGGGGGGAUCUUUGGACCUCGCGCGAUUGGAGCGGCCGAUGUCGGAUUAGCUAGUAGGUGAGGUAAAGGCUCACCUAGGCGACGACCCGUAGCGGGUCUGAGAGGAUGAUCCGCCACACUGGGACUGAGACACGGCCCAGACUCCUACGGGAGGCAGCAGUGGGGAAUUUUGGACAAUGGGGGCAACCCUGAUCCAGCCAUGCCGCGUGAGUGAAGAAGGCCUUCGGGUUGUAAG